RNAcentral lists this long non-coding RNA (542 nucleotides) under Sorghum bicolor (sorghum). RNAcentral's name for it is "long non-coding RNA (SBIC_LNC001900)". The record is from RNAcentral. Lineage: Eukaryota; Viridiplantae; Streptophyta; Magnoliopsida; Poales; Poaceae.
GUCCAACCUGUGAUCGAAGGAUCAGAAGCACCUGCGCAAAACAAAAACAAACCUUAGAAUAAAAUGCCAAAAAACAAACCAAUCUGUUGAACAAAAAAGAAGAAACUCACCGGGACCAAGAACAUCAGCAGGCGAAGGCCUACUUGCCAACGCAGAAGGCGCAGGCUCACGCCGCGGAGGAACAGCAAGUCCUUCCUGCGCAACGCUGGCGCCUUUGGCCAAUUCCUCCGCAGUAGCCAACCCAGCAAAAACAUCCUCUGAAAGAAAUAUAAACAACAUGAGACCAAGUCAAUAAAAAAAUUACAUAAAGAAAAACAAGAAUCAACAAAAAAUUUACCCAUGUACAACGAGUUUAUACCAUCUCCAGCCGGACGCGGGAGAUCCUCCGCCCUCUUAAUCCUCCGAACAGAGACUGACUCUGCCUCAUCACUGGAUUCCCCUUGCCCAUCCUUCGGCGGAGAUCCUCCUCCAGCCAAAGCCUCCCGCGCAGGACUCUCAGCCACCGCAGGAUUCGCCUCACGCGCAGGACUCGCCUCAGGGAC